RNAcentral lists this long non-coding RNA (690 nucleotides) under Phaseolus vulgaris (common bean). Its description in RNAcentral is "long non-coding RNA (PVUL_LNC004812)". The record is from RNAcentral. Lineage: Eukaryota; Viridiplantae; Streptophyta; Magnoliopsida; Fabales; Fabaceae.
CAGAAUUGCCUAAAGUCUCUGAACUGCCUAAACCAGAGUUGCCUAAAGUCCCUGAACUGCCUAAACCAGAGUUGCCUAAAGUCCCUGAACUACCUAAACCAGAGUUGCCUAAAGUCCCUGAAUUGCCUAAACCAGAAUUGCCUAAAGUCCCUGAACUACCUAAACCAGAAUUGCCUAAAGUUCCUGAACUGCCUAAGAUCCCUGAAUUACCUAAGCCAGAGUUGACUAAAGUCCCUGAAGUGCCUAAGCCAGAGUUGACUAAAGUACCUGAGUUGCCUAAAUUCUCAGAAGUGCCUAAGUCUGAGUUGCCCAAAGUACCUGAGUUACCUAAAGUCCCUGAAGUGCCUAAGUCUGAGUUGCCCAAAGUACCUGAGUUACCUAAAGUCCCUGAAGUGCCUAAGUCUGAGUUGCCCAAAGUACCUGAGUUAUCUAAAGUCCCUGAAGUACCUAAGUCUGAGUUGCCCAAAGUACCUGAGUUACCUAAAGUCCCUGAAGUACCAAAGUCUGAGUUGCCCAAAGUUCCUGAAUUGCCUAAAUUCGACUUGCCUAAAAUUCCCGAAUUGUCUAAACCAGAGUUGCCUAAAGUACCUGAAAUUCCUAAGCCUGAGUUGCCUAAAAUACCAGAAAUACCAAAACAUUAAAUGCCUUAGAUGCUUAAGGUUCCUGAACUUUCUAAGCCAUAGUUGUCUU